RNAcentral lists this ribosomal RNA (571 nucleotides) under Skeletocutis amorpha. RNAcentral describes it as "eukaryotic LSU rRNA". It matches the Rfam family "Eukaryotic large subunit ribosomal RNA", at positions 66 to 650 of the family's 3401-position model. Lineage: Eukaryota; Fungi; Basidiomycota; Agaricomycetes; Polyporales; Incrustoporiaceae. The record is from RNAcentral.
UAACAAGGAUUCCCCUAGUAACUGCGAGUGAAGAGGGAAAAGCUCAAAUUUAAAAUCUGGCGGUUUUGGCCGUCCGAGUUGUAGUCUGGAGAAGUGCUUUCCGCGCUGGACCGUGUACAAGUCUCUUGGAACAGAGCGUCGUAGAGGGUGAGAAUCCCGUCUUUGACACGGACUACCAGUGCUUUGUGAUGCGCUCUCGAAGAGUCGAGUUGUUUGGGAAUGCAGCUCAAAAUGGGUGGUGAAUUCCAUCUAAAGCUAAAUAUUGGCGAGAGACCGAUAGCGAACAAGUACCGUGAGGGAAAGAUGAAAAGCACUUUGGAAAGAGAGUUAAACAGUACGUGAAAUUGCUGAAAGGGAAACGCUUGAAGUCAGUCGCGUCGGCCGGAACUCAGCCUUGCCUCGGCUUGGUGCAUUUUCCGGUUGACGGGCCAGCAUCGAUUUUGGUCGGCGGACAAAGGCUUGAGGAAUGUGGCACCUUCGGGUGUGUUAUAGCCUCGGGUUGCAUACGUCGGUCGGGAUCGAGGAACUCAGCUUCGGCUUAGGAUGCUGGCGUAAUGGCUUUAAACGACCC